GACUACCAGGGUAUCUAAGCCUGUUUGCUCCCCACGCUUUCGCUCCUCAGCGUCAGGAAAUGUCCAGAGAACCGCCUUCGCCACUGGUGUUCCUCCUGAUAUCUGCGCAUUCCACCGCUCCACCAGGAAUUCCGUUCUCCCCUACAUCCCUCAAGUCUGCCCGUAUCGAAAGCAAGCCCACAGUUAAGCCGUGGGUUUUCACUUCCGACGCAACAAACCGCCUACGAGCUCUUUACGCCCAAUAAAUCCGGACAACGCUCGCACCCUACGUAUCACCGCGGCUGCUGGCACGUAGUUAGCCGGUGCUUCUUCUCCGCCUACCGUCACAUUCGUCGGCAGUGAAAGCGGUUUACAACCCGAAGGCCUUCAUCCCGCACGCGGCGUUGCUGCAUCAGGCUUCCGCCCAUUGUGCAAUAUUCCCCACUGCAGCCCCCCGUAGG
This 440-nucleotide ribosomal RNA is filed under the name uncultured Propionibacteriaceae bacterium. Its description in RNAcentral is "partial 16S ribosomal RNA". Lineage: Bacteria; Bacillati; Actinomycetota; Actinomycetes; Propionibacteriales; Propionibacteriaceae. The record is from RNAcentral.